Zingiber officinale is the source of this 248-nucleotide long non-coding RNA. RefSeq lists it as uncharacterized. The transcript has 3 exons. NCBI's taxonomy places the organism in Eukaryota, Viridiplantae, Streptophyta, Magnoliopsida, Zingiberales, Zingiberaceae. The record is from RefSeq and is a predicted model, not a curated record.
AAGAUAUACAAUGCAUCAAGGGGUAUUUCAAAAGGACCAGGUUUUAAACAAUUGACAGGUAAUCUUAAACAAAAUGGUGGUGUUGAAUGUGGAUAUUGUGUGAUGCGGUACAUGAAAGAGAUAGUCUUAGAUGAAUAUCCACAAUUGGAGAGAAAGUUUGCAGCAUCAAAAAACAAACAGUAUUACAAUCAAUCUCAGUAUGAUGAAGUCAGAAGUGAAUGGAGCGAAUUUGUCUAUUUCUAUGUGGG